Molecule: ribosomal RNA, 478 nt
Filed under: uncultured bacterium
Lineage: Bacteria
Description: SSU rRNA
Rfam family: Bacterial small subunit ribosomal RNA
Source: RNAcentral
AGGACGAACGCUGGCGGCGUGCUUAACACAUGCAAGUCGAGCGGUAAGGCUCCUUCGGGAGCACACGAGCGGCGAACGGGUGAGUAACACGUGAGCAAUCUGCCCUUCACACUGGGAUAACCCCGGGAAACCGGGGCUAAUACCGGAUGCGACCACCGACGGCAUCGCCUGGUGGUGGAAAGUUCCGGCGGUGGGGGAUGAGCUCGCGGCCUAUCAGCUUGUUGGUGGGGUAAUGGCCUACCAAGGCUUCGACGGGUAGCCGGCCUGAGAGGGUGACCGGCCACACUGGGACUGAGACACGGCCCAGACUCCUACGGGAGGCAGCAGUGGGGAAUAUUGGACAAUGGGCGAAAGCCUGAUCCAGCAACGCCGCGUGAGGGAUGACGGCCUUCGGGUUGUAAACCUCUUUCAGCAGGGACGAAGCGCAAGUGACGGUACCUGCAGAAGAAGCACCGGCCAACUACGUGUCAGCAGCCGC